Molecule: ribosomal RNA, 1451 nt
Filed under: Salmonella enterica
Lineage: Bacteria; Pseudomonadati; Pseudomonadota; Gammaproteobacteria; Enterobacterales; Enterobacteriaceae
Description: partial 23S ribosomal RNA
Rfam family: Bacterial large subunit ribosomal RNA
Source: RNAcentral
AUCGGGGCAGGGUGAGUCGACCCCUAAGGCGAGGCCGAAAGGCGUAGUCGAUGGGAAACGGGUUAAUAUUCCCGUACUUGGUGUUACUGCGAAGGGGGGACGGAGAAGGCUAUGUUGGCCGGGCGACGGUUGUCCCGGUUUAAGCGUGUAGGUGUGUGUUCCAGGUAAAUCCGGUUCACUUUAACACUGAGGCGUGACGACGAGGCACUACGGUGCUGAAGCAACAAAUGCCCUGCUUCCAGGAAAAGCCUCUAAGCAUCAGGUAACAUCAAAUCGUACCCCAAACCGACACAGGUGGUCAGGUAGAGAAUACCAAGGCGCUUGAGAGAACUCGGGUGAAGGAACUAGGCAAAAUGGUGCCGUAACUUCGGGAGAAGGCACGCUGACACGUAGGUGAAGUGAUUUACUCAUGGAGCUGAAGUCAGUCGAAGAUACCAGCUGGCUGCAACUGUUUAUUAAAAACACAGCACUGUGCAAACACGAAAGUGGACGUAUACGGUGUGACGCCUGCCCGGUGCCGGAAGGUUAAUUGAUGGGGUCAGCGCAAGCGAAGCUCCUGAUCGAAGCCCCGGUAAACGGCGGCCGUAACUAUAACGGUCCUAAGGUAGCGAAAUUCCUUGUCGGGUAAGUUCCGACCUGCACGAAUGGCGUAAUGAUGGCCAGGCUGUCUCCACCCGAGACUCAGUGAAAUUGAACUCGCUGUGAAGAUGCAGUGUACCCGCGGCAAGACGGAAAGACCCCGUGAACCUUUACUAUAGCUUGACACUGAACAUUGAGCCUUGAUGUGUAGGAUAGGUGGGAGGCUUUGAAGUGUGGACGCCAGUCUGCAUGGAGCCGGCCUUGAAAUACCACCCUUUAAUGUUUGAUGUUCUAACGUGGACCCGUGAUCCGGGUUGCGGACAGUGUCUGGUGGGUAGUUUGACUGGGGCGGUCUCCUCCUAAAGAGUAACGGAGGAGCACGAAGGUUGGCUAAUCCUGGUCGGACAUCAGGAGGUUAGUGCAAUGGCAUAAGCCAGCUUGACUGCGAGCGUGACGGCGCGAGCAGGUGCGAAAGCAGGUCAUAGUGAUCCGGUGGUUCUGAAUGGAAGGGCCAUCGCUCAACGGAUAAAAGGUACUCCGGGGAUAACAGGCUGAUACCGCCCAAGAGUUCAUAUCGACGGCGGUGUUUGGCACCUCGAUGUCGGCUCAUCACAUCCUGGGGCUGAAGUAGGUCCCAAGGGUAUGGCUGUUCGCCAUUUAAAGUGGUACGCGAGCUGGGUUUAGAACGUCGUGAGACAGUUCGGUCCCUAUCUGCCGUGGGCGCUGGAGAACUGAGGGGGGCUGCUCCUAGUACGAGAGGACCGGAGUGGACGCAUCACUGGUGUUCGGGUUGUCAUGCCAAUGGCACUGCCCGGUAGCUAAAUGCGGAAGAGAUAAGUGCUGAAAGCAUCUAAGCACGAAACUUGCCCCGA